This 404-nucleotide ribosomal RNA is filed under the name bacterium. Its description in RNAcentral is "partial 16S ribosomal RNA". It matches the Rfam family "Bacterial small subunit ribosomal RNA", at positions 355 to 776 of the family's 1533-position model. The record is from RNAcentral.
UGGGGAAUCUUGCGCAAUGGGCGAAAGCCUGACGCAGCCAUGCCGCGUGAAUGAUGAAGGUCUUAGGAUUGUAAAAUUCUUUCACCGGGGACGAUAAUGACGGUACCCGGAGAAGAAGCCCCGGCUAACUUCGUGCCAGCAGCCGCGGUAAUACGAAGGGGGCUAGCGUUGCUCGGAAUUACUGGGCGUAAAGGGCGCGUAGGCGGAUCGUUAAGUCAGAGGUGAAAUCCCAGGGCUCAACCCUGGAACUGCCUUUGAUACUGGCGAUCUUGAGUAUGAGAGAGGUAUGUGGAACUCAGAGUGUAGAGGUGAAAUUCGUAGAUAUUCGGAAGAACACCAGUGGCGAAGGCGACAUACUGGCUCAUUACUGACGCUGAGGCGCGAAAGCGUGGGGAGCAAACAGG